UUACAAAAAACACGAUUUGAUUGUAAAAUAAAAUACUGUAUAUUAGCCGCGUGUGUAAUUCUAAAACAAGUGCAUUAAGACUAAAAUAAUGACUACGCUGCGUCCGUUUACCUGUGAUGACCUAUUUAAAUUUAAUAAUGUAAAUUUUGACCCGCUUACGGAGACAUACGGUUUGUCCUUCUAUACGCAAUAUCUGGCCAAAUGGCCGGAAUACUUUCAAUUGGCGGAGUCGCCCAGCGAGCAUAUAAUGGGAUACAUCAUGGGCAAAGUUGAGGGUCACCUGGAUAAUUGGCAUGGCCAUGUGACGGCUCUGACAGUCUCGCCCGAUUAUAGGCGAUUGGGACUAGCGGCGCUACUGAUGAAUUUCUUGGAAGAUAUAUCGGAAAAAAAACGCGCUUAUUUUGUGGAUCUGUUUGUGCGCAAGAGCAAUAAGGUGGCAAUCAAUAUGUACACGAAUCUGGGCUAUAUUAUAUAUCGUACCAUUCUCGAGUACUACUCCGGAGAUCAGGACGAGGAUGCGUAUGAUAUGAGAAAGGCGCUCUCGCGAGACGUGAACAAGAAAUCGGUUAUACCGUACACGCAACCUGUACGAUUGGAAGAUAUAGAUAUGAAUUGAUAUCAACCCAAUACUGCCCGCAUUCGCAUUUAUGUCUAACUCUGAACAUCAUGAUAAUACAUCAAUUAUUUUACCAUUCAAGAUUUGCAUUGGCUCUCAGCCCCCAACAAAAUUCUAGUUAUUAAACUGAUUUUGUAUCUAAUCCAGUUUGCUCUUACUUAGUUCCCAACAAAUUCCCAUUACCGAACCCAAUACAAUUUCUAACUCGAAAAACCGCCAGUUAAAGCCCAGAUUAAACCCAAGUUGGAUUACAUAUCAAAUUUCGUUGUUGUAAUCCGUCGUUAUUCUGUCGAUAAUAUUUUAUACUUAUCUAGAAUAUAUAGUAUCUACAUGAUUUUGUUAUCAGUUAAAGAGUUCUUAAGCCGACUGUAAAAAUUACAAAAGAAUGUUCACUGACUUUAUAAAGAUAACUAUGCGCGAACUGCGACACCAAAUGAGGCACGAAGGCUAGUCCAGAUGUAUAUAUAGCUUGGAUAUCAAAGGAUUACCAUACUAUUUAUUUAUAACCACAAUAUUUAAAAAUUUUUUUAUUUCUUUUAUUACAACAAUAGAUAUUUCUCGGCUGAAAAUGUUUUAUCCGAUUUUUCAGAACUGUUUCAACUUUCAAGUGUUACAUAAAAUAAAGAGUUUCUUAAACA
Molecule: RNA transcript, 1254 nt
Organism: Drosophila innubila
Lineage: Eukaryota; Metazoa; Arthropoda; Insecta; Diptera; Drosophilidae
Gene: Naa20A
Gene name: N-alpha-acetyltransferase 20
Exons: 6
Source: RefSeq, a predicted model, not a curated record